This 201-nucleotide ribosomal RNA is filed under the name Tetragnatha kamakou. RNAcentral's name for it is "partial 12S ribosomal RNA". Lineage: Eukaryota; Metazoa; Arthropoda; Arachnida; Araneae; Tetragnathidae. The record is from RNAcentral.
CACUUUUAACUAUAUUUUAUAUACCGCCGUCUUGAAUAGACCUAAAAAAUUUUAUUCAAAAGAAAAUUCUAAAAAUUUAGGUAAAGGUGUAAACUAUUUAAAAGAUAAAAUGUAUUACAUUAAAUAAAAUUUAAGGAUCGAAUUAAACAUAACCUCGAGAAAAAGGAUUUAUAAGUAUUAUUUAAUUAAUAUUAAAAUUUG